RNAcentral lists this ribosomal RNA (419 nucleotides) under bacterium. RNAcentral describes it as "partial 16S ribosomal RNA". It matches the Rfam family "Bacterial small subunit ribosomal RNA", at positions 355 to 776 of the family's 1533-position model. The record is from RNAcentral.
UGGGGGAUAUUGCACAAUGGGCGAAAGCCUGAUGCAGCGACGCCGCGUGGGGGAUGAAGGCCUUCGGGUUGUAAACUUCUUUUGCUCUGAACAAGGCAUGCUAAUGGGUGUGUUGAGUGUAGGGGUUGAUUAGCGCCGGCUAACUACGUGCCAGCAGCCGCGGUAAUACGUAGGGCGCGAGCGUUGUCCGGAAUUAUUGGGCGUAAAGGGCUUGUAGGUGGCUGGUUGCGUCUGUCGUGAAAGCUCAUGGCUUAACUGUGGGUUUGCGGUGGGUACGGGCUGGCAUGAGUGCAGUAGGGGAGGCUGGAAUUCCUGGUGUAGCGGUGGAAUGCGCAGAUAUCAGGAGGAAUACCGGUGGCGAAGGCGGGUCUCUGGGCUGUUACUGACACUGAGGAGCGAAAGCAUGGGGAGCGAACAGG